CUCUUUUUAACAUGUGCGAGGUAAGUUAUUUGUUGAUUUUUUUGUGUGUUUAUUUCCUCAUUUUAGUAAGACCAUCAGGCCUUUUUGUAACCUUUGUCACAAGUCUUAAGUUACAAGUAUUUUGUAGGUAUGUGUUUUGUGCCCUGUUUCAAGUUAAGUGCCAAGUUCAAGAGGAUCAUGACAGUUGGUUUGCUGUUGAAUUUCUUCUCAGAGCUGGAUGGUCUUUCAACAACACUGCUCUGGGUCUUCAGCAAGAAAGGUGCUUCUCAUGCAAGGAAGAUACAGAGGAUCCUGGUGCCCAUGACUCAGACUGACAACAUUGAUGUGAAGAGGGAGUGCAUGCUGAGGAGCUGACGGUCUACCUGAAUGAAGAGCCAGACAAAGUGGAUGUUGAUCUGGACGGUCCAGCUGAAACGUAUUGUCUUCGUGUGCGUGUGAUCGGCAGAGAGUCCUCAACGACAUUGGUAACGUACCUGUGGCCAUUGCAGUGUUUGUUUUGGUUUAUGCUCUUAAUCUCUGUUACCUUCCAGAAUGGAAGUACACUUUCAAAUUUCUGUUUCAUUCUAACCGUCUGUUUCAUCAGUUUUUGCACUGCUUUUAAAUGUACACUGUGUAAGAUUCUUAGUUGUUUAUUUCCAGAAUUCAUGCUACCCAUUCACUAAUGUUACCUUUUUCAUGAAUACUUAGCACCACCAUUAGGGUGCAUCAGUUGCCCCCUAUGAAAAGAUAUGGCCUU
Molecule: long non-coding RNA, 736 nt
Organism: Engraulis encrasicolus (European anchovy)
Lineage: Eukaryota; Metazoa; Chordata; Actinopteri; Clupeiformes; Engraulidae
Exons: 3
Source: RefSeq, a predicted model, not a curated record